RNAcentral lists this transfer RNA (71 nucleotides) under Tupaia belangeri chinensis (Chinese tree shrew). RNAcentral describes it as "Tupaia chinensis (Chinese tree shrew) tRNA". It matches the Rfam family "tRNA". Rfam says of the family: Transfer RNA (tRNA) molecules are approximately 80 nucleotides in length. Their secondary structure includes four short double-helical elements and three loops (D, anti-codon, and T loops). Lineage: Eukaryota; Metazoa; Chordata; Mammalia; Scandentia; Tupaiidae. The record is from Rfam by way of RNAcentral.
GGUUCCCUGGUGUAUUUAGAGCACUCUGGACUCUGAAUCCAGCCAUCGGAGUUCAAGUCUCAGGGGAAGCU